This 1566-nucleotide long non-coding RNA is filed under the name Equus caballus (horse). Its description in RNAcentral is "lncRNA (ENSECAG00000056706.1)". The record is from RNAcentral. Lineage: Eukaryota; Metazoa; Chordata; Mammalia; Perissodactyla; Equidae.
CCCGCCCGCUGGCCCCGCCCGUGUCCCCACCUGCCACCCGCUGGCCCCGCGCGCUGCCCGCUGUCCCCGCCUGGUGUCCCCACCUGCCGCCCGCUGUCCUCGCGUCCUGUCCGCUGGCCCCGCGCGCUGCCCGCUGUCCCCACCUGGUGUCCCCAUCUCCCGCCCGCUGUCCCCGCCUGCUGUCCCUGCCCGCUGUCUGCACCUCCUGCCCGGUGUCCCCGGGCCCCCGUCGCCCACUGUCCCCACCCAGUGUCCGACUGGUGACCCCACCCGCUCUCCCCGCCGCCCACCUGCCGCUCCUCGCGGGUUUGCCCACAGGUGCCCCGCCCUCGGUCGGAUCCCCUUGGUCGGACGUCGGAGUUCAAAGUUUAGGAUCAACACAGCUCAACCCGAGUCGGAGUUAAACCCCAAGGAGGCAGAGGGUGCGGCGCAGGCGGGGCGGCGGGACCUCGACCUCCGCUCGGGGCCGGGCCGGCCGCGUGGUCUCCCCCCAGGCCCCUGGCCCCGGGGUCUCCCUCCCCAGUCCGCAGCCCGGCUCGGGGACGCAGGAUCCGAGUGAACCAGGCCGAGCGGCCGGAGCGCCUCGUGCAGGCAGCGCGCGUGGGGCCAGGAGCCUCGACCCGCAAGACCACGGACACUUGCUGCCGGGCCCGGGGGGACCUCGCGCCUACUUGGGUCUCUGGCAGCCGGUGGACCCCAGCUCAGUUGGCCCCAAGGCCGGGGGCCCCCAUCAGGACCCGCCCCUCAGUCUGGGACGCCCGAGAACAGUCCUUCCCGUUCUGGUUCCUCCCUGGAGCCUUGCGCCCUCGGCGCGCCCGGGCCUGGUCGCCGGGCUGUCCGCUCCCGGAGCGCCCUGCGAGGUGACCACCGCGCACACCCGCUCGGAGCGGGUGUUUGAGGCCGUCCUGCUGCGCGUCCUUCCCCGCCUCCACCCACCGCCUGUGCAGGCCUUCCGCCUCUGUUCUUUUCAUGACUUUUUUAAAAAGUUGAUUACCUUUUUCCAAACCACACUUCUAUCGUAUCAAACUCGAGAACUAUUUCGACCUACAUUUUGAAGAAUCAGAAUGUUCACUUCUUUGCAAAAUAAUAAACACAUCUUUCUCUUGGUUUGGGAGUCCCAAAUGAUUAUUCUCUCAAUUAAAUUCGAUUGUGUUCCCGAUGAAUAUGGAAACAGCGAAUGGUGGAAUUCUUGCCUUCUCUUUGCUGGGUUCCAAGUUCGCUUGACUGAUGUGGAUGGAGCACCUUUCCCCUGCAAUCUUUGAGGUACUGUGAGAAAUUAUAUUAUUUUCUUCCCUCUCUGUUGGCAUAAAGACAAUUGCUAGUGAUUACAUUACCUGAAAGGAAAAGUGAAUUUAAUAGUUGGAACAGCAGAACCGGAGAUCAGAGCUCUUUCUCUGAGUCUUCUUCCUACUGCGAUAACCUCCUUUUCAAGAAGGCUGAAGCCCGGUCUCGGACCUGAGGCAGAGGUGAUCAGGGAACAAGAUCCAAUUAUUCCAGUUCGCUAUACUGAGCAACUUAACCUGGAGGUAGAAUUAACUCCUAUUAAUACUCAUAAGUGAAGGGAUG